AUUGAACGCUGGCGGCAUGCCUUACACAUGCAAGUCGAACGGUAACGGGCCUUCGGGUGCCGACGAGUGGCGAACGGGUGCGUAAUACAUCGGAACGUGCCCGAUCGUGGGGGAUAACGAGGCGAAAGCUUUGCUAAUACCGCAUACGAUCUACGGAUGACAGCAGGGGACCGCAAGGCCUUGCGCGGACGGAGCGGCCGAUGGCAGAUUGGGUAGUUGGUGGGAUAAAAGCUUACCAAGCCGACGAUCUGUAGCUGGUCUGAGAGGAUGAUCAGCCACACUGGGACUGAGACACGGCCCAGACUCCUACGGGAGGCAGCAGUGGGGAAUUUUGGACAAUGGGCGCAAGCCUGAUCCAGCCAUGCCGCGUGCAGGAUGAAGGCCUUCGGGUUGUAAACUGCUUUUGUACGGAACGAAAAGCAUUCUUUUAAUACAGGAGGGUCAUGACGGUACCGUAAGAAUAAGCACCGGCUAACUACGUG
RNAcentral lists this ribosomal RNA (482 nucleotides) under uncultured bacterium. Its description in RNAcentral is "partial 16S ribosomal RNA". It matches the Rfam family "Bacterial small subunit ribosomal RNA", at positions 30 to 507 of the family's 1533-position model. The record is from RNAcentral.